UCAAGAGGUGUGGGUUGUAUUCUUUUAUGUGUUAGAGAAAACCUAGAGAGAGAGAGAGAGAGAGUUAGAGAACUCAAGAGUUGAAGGAGGAAAGCUUAGAGAAGUGAAGAAUUUGAAGGAAAACUAAAGAAUUCAAGCUUAAGGUGAGUAUCUGCAACUAGAGUUUGCUUUGGAGUCAACCUAUUUUAGAAGACUAUCCAAAGAAAUGCCUCCAUAUUGAGGCUUUAGCUUUUGUUUUUGGCCAAGCUUUGUUAAGCUUUAUUUUGUUAAGUUUUGUUAAGCCAUGUAUGUGAUCUUAGGCAGUGUAUCAGAUAAAUGUUUGUGUAUAUUAUAAGUGUGUUGUUAAAUGUUUUUGAGUAUUUCGGUUCAUAUAAUGUAUGCACAAUUCAAUGGAUAAUAUUAUUUCUAUUUUUAUUUAUGCUUUA
Molecule: long non-coding RNA, 425 nt
Organism: Camellia sinensis
Lineage: Eukaryota; Viridiplantae; Streptophyta; Magnoliopsida; Ericales; Theaceae
Source: RefSeq, a predicted model, not a curated record